This is a long non-coding RNA of Oncorhynchus tshawytscha (Chinook salmon), 454 nucleotides long. NCBI's taxonomy places the organism in Eukaryota, Metazoa, Chordata, Actinopteri, Salmoniformes, Salmonidae. The record is from Ensembl.
GGGAGUGACAAUACACUGGGUCAGGUAUUAGCAGAGGGCCAGGAGGGAGUGACAAUACACUGGGUCAGGUAUUAGCAGAGGGACAGGAGGGAGAGACAAUACACUGGUUCAGGUAUUAGCAGAGGGCCAGGAGGGAGUGACAAUACACUGGGUCAGGUAUUAGCAGAGGGCCAGGAGGGAGAGACAAUACACUGGGUCAGGUAUUAGCAGAGGGCCAGGAGGGAGUGACAAUACACAGGGUCAGGUAUUAGCAGAGGGCCAGGAGGGAGUGACAAUACACUGAGUCAGGUAUUAGCAGAGGGCCAGGAGGGAGAGACAAUACACUGGGUCAGGUAUUAGCAGAGGGCCAGGAGGGAGAGACAAUACACUGGGUCAGGUAUUAGCAGAGGGACAGGAGGGAGAGACAAUACACUGGUUCAGGUAUUAGCAGAGGGACAGGAGGGAGAGACAAUAC